GAUGAAGAACGUAGGGAAAUGCGAUAAGUAAUGUGAAUUGCAGAAUUCAGUGAAUCAUCGAAUCUUUGAACGCACAUUGCGCCCCUUGGUAUUCCGAGGGGCAUGCCUGUUCGAGCGUCAUUAUAACCCCUCAAGCUCAGCUUGGUGUUGGGGCCUGCCGCACGGGCAGCCCUUAAAAUCAGUGGCGGUGCUAUCUGGCUCUAAGCGUAGUAAUUCUUCUCGCUAUAGAGUCCCGGUGGAUGCUUGCCAUUAACCCCCAAUUUUCUAUGGUUGACCUCGGAUCAGGUAGGGAUACCCGCUGAACUUAAGCAUAUCAAUAAGCGGAGGA
Molecule: unclassified non-coding RNA, 328 nt
Filed under: soil metagenome
Description: partial contains 5.8S ribosomal RNA, internal transcribed spacer 2, and large subunit ribosomal RNA
Rfam family: 5.8S ribosomal RNA (bases 1-120)
Source: RNAcentral